Molecule: unclassified non-coding RNA, 489 nt
Filed under: Hevea brasiliensis (rubber tree)
Lineage: Eukaryota; Viridiplantae; Streptophyta; Magnoliopsida; Malpighiales; Euphorbiaceae
Source: RNAcentral
UUAAAGUUUAUGCAUUCAAGCUUUCCUCACAUGGCUUAGCGUCUUGAAUUCAACUUCAUCAAAUUGCAUCUUUCUUGUGAUUCAGAAUUUUAUUACAUCUGCACUGUACAAAUUAUAUAAUAAAGAAAUAAAAAAAAAUGCACAAAAAGAGUGAUGCCAUACAGUUCAAACUUAGUUUUUUCAAGUGUUGCCUAAAACUCAAGUGCAUCAACACACAUCUUUUAGUUUAAAUUCAAGAUUCAUCCAUCCUCUCAUAUUACCAACAUAUGUAUGCCUCCUUUCCAGACAAUUAACACCUAAUUGGGAAUUCAAUCACUAUAAAAGCAUGAUUCAACAGCUAUUUCAGAUUUCUCAGGAUUAACAAAGUGAGAAAAAGUCCAUUACAAUUUGAAAUUCAGGAUCGUCAUUUAAUCACAUAGUGGCCAAACAAAAAUCUUGAGUUGAAAAGUUUGUGUAACACCCCUAAUUUUUGAAUUUAUUAUUUUGUGA